ACAGGUCAUAGCCUGUCUAAACAGUCCUUUAAGCUAUGAGCGUUGCAAGUCUAUAACAGGCUUGCAGGUUGGA
Molecule: ribozyme, 73 nt
Filed under: unclassified sequences
Description: pistol ribozyme
Rfam family: Pistol ribozyme
Source: RNAcentral